AUGAGCGGGACCAAGUCGUCAUGGCCGGAGCUGGUGGGCAUCCUGGCGACGCUGGCGGCCACGCAGAUCGCGCACGACAGGCCCGACGUCGCCGUCGAGGUGCUGCCGCCGGGCGCCCCUCUGACACCGGACUACAACGCCGAGCGCGUCCGCGUCUUCAUCGACAACAACGGCAUCGUCUCCCAGACCCCGGUCAUCGGCUAG
This 204-nucleotide ribosomal RNA is filed under the name Triticum aestivum (bread wheat). RNAcentral's name for it is "partial small subunit ribosomal RNA". The record is from RNAcentral. Lineage: Eukaryota; Viridiplantae; Streptophyta; Magnoliopsida; Poales; Poaceae.